GGCCUGGCCUGAGCUGGCCCAGAGGCCGUGGUGGGGAGCCUGGUGGUCAGACAGUGGCUCUGGGUCAGGUAGAGAAUGGCUGACAGGGAAAGAAGCGGAUAAGGCCCAGCGCCCGGCCCUCGGAAAGGCCCGGAGAGGCGGAGUGUCACGGGGACCAAGGGAUUAAAUGCAGACACAGCCCCGAGGACGGCACCAGCCACGGGGUCCUUCUCCGGGUGUGCGUUUGCUGAGCACUGACUGCGUGCACCGCCUCGGACGUUAACACUCUCCAUGGAGUGUCUGCAGGAGAGGUUCGAGCCCGGCCAGCGUGGCUCAGUGGUUGAGCGUCGACCUAUGUACCAGGAGGUCAGAGUUCGAUUUCCGGGCAAGGC
Myotis myotis is the source of this 371-nucleotide long non-coding RNA. RefSeq lists it as uncharacterized. The record is from RefSeq and is a predicted model, not a curated record. Lineage: Eukaryota; Metazoa; Chordata; Mammalia; Chiroptera; Vespertilionidae. The transcript is spliced from 3 exons.